GACGAACGCUGGCGGCGUGCCUAAUACAUGCAAGUCGAACGAGAGCGACCGGUGCUUGCACUGGUCAAUCUAGUGGCGAACGGGUGAGUAACACGUGGGUAACCUGCCCAUCAGAGGGGGAUAACAUCCGGAAACGGAUGCUAAAACCGCAUAGGUCUUCGAACCGCAUGGUUUGAAGAGGAAAAGAGGCGCAAGCUUCUGCUGAUGGAUGGACCCGCGGUGCAUUAGCUAGUUGGUGAGGUAACGGCUCACCAAGGCCGUGAUGCAUAGCCGACCUGAGAGGGUGAUCGGCCACAUUGGGACUGAGACACGGCCCAAACUCCUACGGGAGGCAGCAGUAGGGAAUCUUCCGCAAUGGACGCAAGUCUGACGGAGCAACGCCGCGUGAGUGAAGAAGGUUUUCGGAUCGUAAAACUCUGUUGUUAGAGAAGAACAAGUGCUAGAGUAACUGUUAGCGCCUUGACGGUAUCUAACCAGAAAGCCACGGCUAACUACGU
RNAcentral lists this ribosomal RNA (497 nucleotides) under uncultured bacterium. RNAcentral describes it as "partial 16S ribosomal RNA". It matches the Rfam family "Bacterial small subunit ribosomal RNA", at positions 28 to 506 of the family's 1533-position model. The record is from RNAcentral.